AUUGAACGCUGGCGGCAUGCUUUACACAUGCAAGUCGAACGGUAACAGGUUAAGCUGACGAGUGGCGAACGGGUGAGUAAUGCAUCGGAACGUGCCCGAUCGUGGGGGAUAACGCAGCGAAAGCUGCGCUAAUACCGCAUACGAUCUGAGGAUGAAAGCGGGGGACCGUAGGGCCUCGCGCGAUCGGAGCGGCCGAUGUCAGAUUAGGUAGUUGGUGGGGUAAAAGGCUCACCAAGCCGACGAUCUGUAGCUGGUCUGAGAGGACGACCAGCCACACUGGGACUGAGACACGGCCCAGACUCCUACGGGAGGCAGCAGUGGGGAAUUUUGGACAAUGGGCGCAAGCCUGAUCCAGCAAUGCCGCGUGCAGGAAGAAGGCCUUCGGGUUGUAAACUGCUUUGUACGGAGCGAAAGGACCGUCUCUAAUACA
Molecule: ribosomal RNA, 430 nt
Filed under: uncultured bacterium
Lineage: Bacteria
Description: bacterial SSU rRNA
Rfam family: Bacterial small subunit ribosomal RNA
Source: RNAcentral